UCACUCAUUCACUCACUCGCCCACCCAUGUACUCACUCACUCACUCAACCACUAACUCACUCAAUUCAAAGCAUACUUACAGUGCAGUCUUACCAACGGCCGGCCAUUAGCCAUUGGUUGGUAAUCCUGCGACGGUGUAAACAAGCCAAACGCCAAUUUUUAAAAUCUUCCUUCAGAAAUUUGGCGUAGUUGAAAACAACACGAACAAUAAGUAUGAAAAAACAGACUGACAGUCCUUCCAUGGAGAUCUUAAACAAUCCCUCUUUAUCCCCAAUACGUGAAGUUUUCUCUCUUUUCCUGGAGUCUUCACCCUCUGCCAUCUCAUCUUUGGCUGACAUCAACAUCUCGGUUCUUGCAUCUGCUUCAAUUGAUAACACAGACAAGAGAAAGGUCAUCUGGUGUGCUUAAAGCAACCACUUCACAUCCUGUUGUCUGAUACUGCAGUUCCUGUACCUUCAAAAUAAACAAGGUAGUUCCAGUCUUCAGAGACAGUGAAGGCAGUCCAUCAUUGCAAAAAAAAAUCAGCAUUUGGCUACCACUUAAGGUCACCAGAGGCAGCACUUCAAUGCAGUAACUACAUGAUGCAAAUGCAGGUCUUCCCACUGUCCAUGGUAGCAGUUCACGGCAAGAGAUACACAAAGAAACAACUGAAGAAUAAAUAUUUAAAAGAAAAUGUGAGGAUACUCUAUGAUGAUGCAAGAUUUAUAAUAGAAGUUCACAAAUUUGAA
Molecule: non-coding RNA, 728 nt
Organism: Penaeus vannamei (Pacific white shrimp)
Lineage: Eukaryota; Metazoa; Arthropoda; Malacostraca; Decapoda; Penaeidae
Source: RefSeq, a predicted model, not a curated record